CAAUCCAGGGGAGUGACAGUAGGCAUGGUUCAGCUUCCUCCACUGAAAAAAACAAUGUAUGGAGAAAGACUCUUCAAGUUUUCAGCACACUAUGAAGAGGCUGUGCCCAUGGACCACUAGAGAUUCGGACAAUGGAGAUGUGGUUCAGCCUCCUCCACAUAAGAAACGAUGUGUGAGAAAAGCCCCAGAACCUCUGAAAGUUACGCUUUGAAGGCCAGUACCUAAAGAGCACACCUGUAAAGGAUGUGCAUGUCAGUGAUAUCCACAUAAACAGCAGAG
Long non-coding RNA from Sinocyclocheilus anshuiensis, 279 nucleotides. RefSeq lists it as uncharacterized. The transcript has 3 exons. NCBI's taxonomy places the organism in Eukaryota, Metazoa, Chordata, Actinopteri, Cypriniformes, Cyprinidae. The record is from RefSeq and is a predicted model, not a curated record.